CUUCACCGAACCGAGCCACAGCGGCCGAUCCUCGGGGCGGUCCCGGCCGUAGGUCGCGAGCAGCGCCUGCGCCUC
This 75-nucleotide antisense RNA is filed under the name Paractinoplanes brasiliensis. RNAcentral describes it as "Actinoplanes brasiliensis ASpks TB sRNA". It matches the Rfam family "ASpks TB sRNA". Lineage: Bacteria; Bacillati; Actinomycetota; Actinomycetes; Micromonosporales; Micromonosporaceae. The record is from RNAcentral.